UUUAAAAAAAAUUGAGAAAUAGAC
Molecule: non-coding RNA, 24 nt
Filed under: Rattus norvegicus (Norway rat)
Lineage: Eukaryota; Metazoa; Chordata; Mammalia; Rodentia; Muridae
Source: RNAcentral